UACGAAGGGUGCAAACGUUGCUCGGAAUUAUUGGGCGUAAAGCGCACGUAGGCGGAUGUGUCAGUCAGGGGUGAAAUCCCGGGGCUCAACCUCGGAACUGCCUUUGAUACAGCACGUCUUGAGUCCGAUAGAGGUGGGUGGAAUUCCUAGUGUAGAGGUGAAAUGCGUAGAUAUCAGGAGGAAUACCGGUGGCGAAAGCGACUCUCUGGACGGCAACUGACGCUGAGGCACGAAAGCGUGGGGAGCAAACAGG
RNAcentral lists this ribosomal RNA (253 nucleotides) under uncultured bacterium. RNAcentral's name for it is "partial 16S ribosomal RNA". It matches the Rfam family "Bacterial small subunit ribosomal RNA", at positions 524 to 776 of the family's 1533-position model. The record is from RNAcentral.